GUAAGGAAUAUUGGUCAAUGGGCGGAAGCCUGAACCAGCCAUGCCGCGUGCAGGAAGACGGCCCUACGGGUUGUAAACUGCUUUUAUACGGGAAUAAACCUCCGAUCGUGAUCGGAGCUGAAUGUACUGUAAGAAUAAGGAUCGGCUAACUCCGUGCCAGCAGCCGCGGUAAUACGGAGGAUCCAAGCGUUAUCCGGAUUUAUUGGGUUUAAAGGGUGCGUAGGCGGCUUGUUAAGUCAGAGGUGAAAGGCGGUAGCUUAACUAUCGGAGGGCCUUUGAUACUGACGAGCUUGAAUGCAGCUGAGGUAGGCGGAAUGUGACAAGUAGCGGUGAAAUGCAUAGAUAUGUCACAGAACACCGAUUGCGAAGGCAGCUUACUAAAGUGUGAUUGACGCUGAGGCACGAAAGCGUGGGGAUCAAACAGG
This 425-nucleotide ribosomal RNA is filed under the name uncultured Mucilaginibacter sp. RNAcentral describes it as "bacterial SSU rRNA". It matches the Rfam family "Bacterial small subunit ribosomal RNA", at positions 354 to 776 of the family's 1533-position model. The record is from RNAcentral. Lineage: Bacteria; Pseudomonadati; Bacteroidota; Sphingobacteriia; Sphingobacteriales; Sphingobacteriaceae.